Molecule: unclassified non-coding RNA, 329 nt
Filed under: soil metagenome
Description: partial contains 5.8S ribosomal RNA, internal transcribed spacer 2, and large subunit ribosomal RNA
Rfam family: 5.8S ribosomal RNA (bases 1-120)
Source: RNAcentral
GAUGAAGAACGCAGCGAAAUGUGAUAAGUAAUGUGAAUUGCAGAAUUCAGUGAAUCAUCGAAUCUUUGAACGCACAUUGCGCCCCCUGGUAUUCCGGGGGGCAUGCCUGUUCGAGCGUCAUUACAACCCUCAAGCUCUGCUUGGUAUUGGGCCCCGCCAGUUCUGGCGGGCCCUAAAGUCAGUGGCGGUGCCUUCCGGCUCCGAGCGUAGUAAUUCUUCUCGCUCUGGAGACCCGGUUGUGUGCUUGCCAACAACCCCCAAUUUUUUAAGGUUGACCUCGGAUCAGGUAGGGAUACCCGCUGAACUUAAGCAUAUCAAUAAGCGGAGGA